UCCUCUUUAGCUCAGUUGGUUAGAGCAUCUGACUGUUAAUCAGAGGGUCCUUGGUUCGAGUCCAAGAAGAGGAGCCC
RNAcentral lists this transfer RNA (77 nucleotides) under Bacteroidota bacterium. RNAcentral describes it as "Bacteroidetes bacterium tRNA-Asn". It matches the Rfam family "tRNA". Rfam says of the family: Transfer RNA (tRNA) molecules are approximately 80 nucleotides in length. Their secondary structure includes four short double-helical elements and three loops (D, anti-codon, and T loops). Further hydrogen bonds mediate the characteristic L-shaped molecular structure. tRNAs have two regions of fundamental functional importance: the anti-codon, which is responsible for specific mRNA codon recognition, and the 3' end, to which the tRNAs corresponding amino acid is attached (by aminoacyl-tRNA synthetases). tRNAs cope with the degeneracy of the genetic code in two manners: having more than one tRNA (with a specific anti-codon) for a particular amino acid; and 'wobble' base-pairing, i.e. permitting non-standard base-pairing at the 3rd anti-codon position. The record is from RNAcentral. Lineage: Bacteria; Pseudomonadati; Bacteroidota.